This 782-nucleotide long non-coding RNA is filed under the name Homo sapiens (human). Lineage: Eukaryota; Metazoa; Chordata; Mammalia; Primates; Hominidae. The record is from RNAcentral.
GCCAUCUUGUCUCCCUCUCCUUACCUGCGUCCUCGGGGGCGUGCGCACCACCCCCCCUCCCGCCUAGGAGGGGGGAGGGCCCCCUCUUGGCCACCGCCUUCGCGGCCUUUAAACUCCCCUGGAGACUGCGGCUACUGCCACCGCCUUGCCUCCACUGCCUCUUCGCGCAGCACACAGAUGCGGACGGUGGGUGGGAAAAAGGGCAGACGCUACUCCCAGCGAACCGCCGCUGCCGCUCCCGAGGCCUCACCAAAAUGGCCGCCGCCGUCUCGGCCGCCACCACCACCACUACCACCACCACUCGCUCGGAAUCGCUAUCGCCGGCGCGGCCCGUCUUCUCGCGAGAGACAGUAACUGGAGGGUGGGGGAACGGGGAGGCUCGCGUGCUAGCGUAGGGUGCAGCACGGUGCGCAAGGCAGCCUGGGAGGUGUAGUCUCCCAGAGGCUGCGCGCUCGCCCUUCCUCGGAGCGCCUUUACCGUUUGCCCCUAGAUCUACCUGGGGCUGCAUUGCGGCUGCCAGCUCGGACCACCGCCACCUCCCUUUUUAUUUACAGAUCACCCAGUAAGCUGCAGCAAGUUAGCAGUGGAACCUGGGCCUCCCGAUUCCCAUGGCAGCCCACUUCUGUAGCGCUGCUUCGUUUUACGCGAGGAUGGUUUCCUGAUAGCUUUCAAACACCUUUGCCAUCUCUUCGCAAACUUUCUAGAUUAAGAAUCCCUUUGAGAAUCUGAUACCUUUACCCCAGAAUAGAACAAUAAAUAACAGCUACCUUCUACUGACACUA